AGUGAACGCUGGCGGUAGGCCUAACACAUGCAAGUCGAACGGCAGCACAGUAAGAGCUUGCUCUUACGGGUGGCGAGUGGCGGACGGGUGAGGAAUACAUCGGAAUCUACUUUUUCGUGGGGGAUAACGUAGGGAAACUUACGCUAAUACCGCAUACGACCUACGGGUGAAAGCAGGGGAUCUUCGGACCUUGCGCGAAUGAAUGAGCCGAUGUCGGAUUAGCUAGUUGGCGGGGUAAAGGCCCACCAAGGCGACGAUCCGUAGCUGGUCUGAGAGGAUGAUCAGCCACACUGGAACUGAGACACGGUCCAGACUCCUACGGGAGGCAGCAGUGUGGAAUAUUGGACAAUGGGCGCAAGCCUGAUCCAGCCAUACCGCGUGGGUGAAGAAGGCCUUCGGGUUGUAAAGCCCUUUUGUUGGGAAAGAAAAGCAGCAGGUUAAUACCCCGCUGUUCUGACGGUACCCAAAGAAUAAGCACCGGCUAACUUCGUG
This 492-nucleotide ribosomal RNA is filed under the name uncultured bacterium. Its description in RNAcentral is "partial 16S ribosomal RNA". It matches the Rfam family "Bacterial small subunit ribosomal RNA", at positions 29 to 507 of the family's 1533-position model. The record is from RNAcentral.